RNAcentral lists this long non-coding RNA (4406 nucleotides) under Gadus morhua (Atlantic cod). RNAcentral's name for it is "lncRNA (ENSGMOG00000030130.1)". The record is from RNAcentral. Lineage: Eukaryota; Metazoa; Chordata; Actinopteri; Gadiformes; Gadidae.
GCCAAAGAGCUGCACAGACAUCAAUUUUGUGUAUGGGAAGGAAGAUCCGUAUAAUGUUGUAUGCAAGAAGGCGGGACUAUGUACGAAUCACUUCAGACCUGCGAUAGGUUUAAAGACAAGGCUUCCAAAAACCAAGUGCCAGUGGAACAGCCUUGGGGAUUGACCCUACCCUUGACUACAGACCACAGACCACAUCGGGGGCUGUCAGACAUCCUGGUAGCAAUUGCCUGUCCUGGUGUUAGUAGAUACACCAUAAUGCCUAAUGCCUACCAUCGACAUAGGUUACAUACAUACUACACACUUUAAUAUACUUAUAUAUUAGUGAUAGUGAACAUUAGGGAUGGCCAUUCGAUUAAGUUGUCUUAGUCGAUCGUCGGGAGAAUUAACGAUCAAUUAGUCGAUUAAUCGUUAAUUUUUUACAUUAAAAAUUAUAUUCAAAAUGAAAUGAAAAUACAAAUGCAGCAUGUUUUCCACAUUGGGAUCUUUAUUAUUAGAUGAACAACUCAGUUAAACCUGGGCCCCGUUUCCCGUUAUCGAUGGAUCUUCGCUCAUAAGAUGGUUUGAAAGAGGGAUCUUUCGAACCAUCGAUAUUUUCUUUGGAGCGUUUCCCGAAACUCCUCUUAACGUGAACGCGCAUUCGCUGCACUCAAGACGAUCUUAGGAUUGUACCUGUCCACUGACAUGGUGCUGAAACGGGCUAUGACGCAGGGGGAGACGCAGGAAUUUCGGAGGAAAAUGGGGUUAAAAAGGGUUAAAAUAUCUCCCCAUCAAGGCCAACCGCAGAGUAGCCUACGAAAAGAAUAGAUUGCAAUAAUAUGAAUGCUAAAGAUAUUAAAACACAAUUGAUUAAGCCUAGGCCGACAUAUAUAGCAGUCCUAAUCCUGAGCGCACGAUCGGGAAGUGGAAGUUGCGCUUUAGAUGCCUUCACAAGUCCAGCGGAGGGCUCCAGUUUUCGCCGGCCAAGUCAUGCGCUGUGAUAUGUGUGACAGCUAUGUUGCACAACAUUGCAGCUAAGGCUGGGGUAGCUUUGGUUGAACCGGAGGACAUUGAGGACGAUGACGACGAGGAUGAUCGGUGUGAGGACGGCCUCCCUCAUAACUACGCGGCUGGUUUUCAUGCACGUCGAAGAGUGAUUGAGACUUUUUUUUAACCCCCUCCACCCUCCCACAUGUCACUAAACAUUCCCGUCAACGUGACCAAUCCCCACCAUAUCCCAGCCUUUUGCCUGCUCCUUUGCUUUUUUUUUAUAAAAAAUAUAUAAUAAUUUUUUUUAUAAUUUUUUUAUUUUUUAUUUUUUUUUACAUUAUUUUAUGCUACGUUUUAUGAGUAGCCUAUGUCAGUCUGCACAAGUCCCCCCCACUUUCUCUCACACAUUUUAAGUGCCCUGCCUGCUCAAACAUUUCCUGGACUGUCUCUCUCAAACUAAGAACAUUAUGGCCCACAUUAGGCUCAGACGCACGUGAUACACCAUUACCAAUGUGUUAUAAUAAAACACAUCCAAUACUAGGAAUGUCCGCUGGCUACGCCACUGAGGCUAUAGUAGGCUAACGAGGCUCUUAGCGUCCUACGAGUACCCUGGAGCACUCGUUAGCUACUCGUGACUCGUGAGCGAUUUUAAGACGUUCGUUACCAAAGAUGCUUUCGGGAAACGGUGUGAAAACUGUACGAUGCUCUUACGACCCACUCUGCGAUCCACUUAGGCUAAAGAUGCUUUCGGGAAAAGGGGCCCAGAUCCGUUCAAUAGUUAUGCGCUACUCUGCUCUAAGCAACGGAGCAUACAGCUCGAAGCCGGUGCUCAUAAACAUAACUAAAAAUAACACAACCCUAGUUUCUUCCCAAAAUAAUAACAAUAAUAAUAAAACAAUCAUGUUAUAACUUAACCAACCAGUCUACGGAUUUCUGUUAAGAAAGAUGAGCAUGUUGACUAGGGGUGUAACGGUACACAAAAAUCUCGGUUCGGUACGUACCUCGGUUUUGAGGUCACGGUUCGGUUAAUUUUUGGUACAGUAAGAAAUCAAAAUGCUAAAUAUAAAUGUGCUUCAUAACAUGUGCUUCAAGUUGUUCAUAACACAUUUUUGUGCUUUUUACAAUAGGAACAUCAGACAAUACAAAGCUAGAAUUCUGCUCAAAAAUAUAAAGAUUCUGAAAUGUAGGAAUAAAAAUAAAUAACAUUGGCUCAGACUGUUUUUUAAAAAAAUAUAUUAUCUAAUGUGCAACAAUGAACAAUUGCAACACUAAAGAGUUUCAAGUUGUUACUCAGAUUAAAUAACAUGAAUAAGGCUCAGACUGUUUCUUUAAAAACAAUUUUUUUCUCAAUCUAAUGUGCCAUAAUGAACAAUUGCAACACUAAACAGUUUCAAAUUGUUGCUCAGAUAAAUUUUUACUCCCCCCCCCCCCCCCCCCCCCCAUCUUUACCCCUGAUGACUUUCACUCAAUCGUUUGCCAGAAAAAUCUCCUUAUCCACAUUAUCUGCAGGAUAAUAAUACCCAAAAUUUGAGUGUACAUACGAUGUACCCUACAUGUUACUCCCGUAUACCACAAUGCAAUGCGGUCGUGUUUUUCCGGAGAAGAAGAAGAUGCUGAAUAACCGCGAAAACUAAUAUAUUUAAUGAUGGAGCCUCCGGCUUUCGUUUAGAAAUGUCAACAAUUUAUUCGGGAUUUAACAUAGAAUAUUUAACAUUCAAAAUGAAUUUAAUAAAAACUUGAACAAGGAAAUGUAACAUUCAUCAUCAAUACAACCUCCAGCUUUCCUCGUGAGUGCCCGGUUUGUUUACAUGAUGUGGGCGCCUCGGUCUGCGUCACACAAAUACCCGGCGCAUUUACUGACGCAAAUGACGUUUAGAAAUGUUCAGCGUAGUGUCCGAAUUCUCGUUUGUUCGUUCCCUAAAUAGUGCACUAUAUCAUGAUCACUAUAUAGGGAAUAGUGAGUGAGUGAAUAGGGAACGAUUUCGAACACAGCUACGGUGUGCGCAACUGUGCAUGUACGGCCGCAGCAUGUUCCACACAUGCGGUCCUCUACUUAAUAAGUCCGUAUGGAAACUCGUUCGGUACGCCUCCACACCGAACCGAGCACCCUGUACCGAAACGGUUCAAUACAAAUACAUGUACUGUUACACCCCUAAUGUUGACAUGCUCUGGGGUCAGACGCGACCGCAGCCUGGUGACCGUCAGUCCAGCCGCCGAAAACACCCGCUCUGAGGGGACCGACGUUGCCGUGAUGCACAAAUACCUCCGCGCUAACUUGGCAAGGAGGGGGAACAACUUUCCACAAUCCAGGGGCUCAGAAAGUUCUUUAUUUCUGCUUCGAUGCUAACCUCGCCUUGAGUGGUAGGCCUAUAGUGCUCCCCAAGAAGUCAAUUUUUAAAUCAUAAUGGUCCCACACCAGACUUCGCCGUGGCCUCGUCCGCUUCAUGAUUACAUCGCCGUGUUCCAAUAUCCAUACUAUCCGUACUUACGAGUCUAACUUUGAGUACGUAGGGAUUUCUGAUUCAGAUCGGGCGAAAAAUAAGUGUACUGAAAACGGUCAAAGUGUGUGGCGAUGUACACUUUUCGUACUCAACGGCAGCCAUCCUAGCUAGGUAGCGGAAGAGGGCGGAGCCAGGCUGAGCCAAAGUCGGCGCAUUUUCCACAUAGCCUGCAUUAAAGGCAUACUGUACGAUUUCCAGUGAUAUGCACUUUUUAAUAUGUUGUUGAAAUUGGUUUUUACAUCCUGACAGCAAUAAAUAACUUAUGGGCAAUGAAAAGAAGCGAAAAAAAAACGAAAUCUGUAUCGGCUAUAAACCUGUUAAAAUGCUUACCAAUCGGAGACAUUGUACCCGAAUCUAAAAAACCAAUCACAAGCCUGCGCGUUCUCUCCCCUCUGUGUACGAGACUGAGCCGAACUGAGCGCGUUCACGGAGGGCAAAGAAAGCGUUGUUGUCAUAGUAGUUCAUGACAGUGGACUAGACCUAGUGAGCCUACAACGUCAACACGAUGGAAGAAAAAAAACAGAAGUUACCACUGCCACCGUUACUUGCCCCGGUUCAUCCUUUUAAAAAGGCAAGAAAAAGAAAGACAGAAACUGAAAAGGCAGCAACAAAAAAGAAAGAAGUUGGAGACUGCUCGAGGAAAAACGAGAAUAAAUAUUGGAUUAGCUUUUCAGCGAUGGCGACAGCUGAGGGAGUUGAAUGGCCUGAAAAGUGACGCAAUGGUUGCCGUUGAAGUAAGCCGUAAGCAGCAGCAGCGCUCGUGCACGGCUCUGUGUCGAAGGGUGGGGGCAGGGAGUCCUGAAGGGUGGGGGAGGAGUUAAACGGAACUCCGAAGAGAAGCUAAUUUCAAAUCAUGCUAGCUCUCUCACAUCGUACAGUAUAGCUUUAAUAGUCAUUUUGUAGUUUUUAUAGCUGCUAGACGUAAAGAGUUCGCCGUUC